This 67-nucleotide transfer RNA is filed under the name Prodiamesa olivacea. RNAcentral's name for it is "tRNA-Tyr". It matches the Rfam family "tRNA". Rfam says of the family: Transfer RNA (tRNA) molecules are approximately 80 nucleotides in length. Lineage: Eukaryota; Metazoa; Arthropoda; Insecta; Diptera; Chironomidae. The record is from RNAcentral.
GAUUAAAUGGCUGAAUUUUAGGUCAUAGACUGUAAAUCUAUUUAUGAGGAUUUAUCCUCUUUAAUCA